AAUUUUAUUGCUUGAAUUACGAUUUUAUAGAUCUGUUUUAUACCACCGAUUUUUAAAGAGUAUUUUGAUAAAUGAGGUCUACAAAGACGCCGAAGACGGAAAUGUAUGCUCAGCGUAACGCUAAAAAGUGUUUGCUCAUAAAAUUUAAGCUGUUGUGUCAUCGUAUAGGGCCGACAGAGUGUACUAAAACCGACAAGAGAUUAAACAAAACUGAAAUUUAUUUCUCAUCAACCCGAUAAAGUAUAUAAAUUGUAACUCAAAAGCGUAAAUUUCAACAAUAAAAGAUUCUUUGUGAAAGAUUUUAUUGUCAAUAGGAACAAUAACCUUGGGUUUGUGUGACUUACCUCCCGCUUUCACAUAAGUUUACUUAGUCGGGAGAUACGGAAGAGAUUUAUUGAUGGAAAUGACAUCAUCGCGGAAACUACAGGAAUAUGAUUGGUGAGCUGGUUGGCAGAAAAACAAUACAUUUUGUCCCAGUAUAGUUGGAAAUAUGAGAAUAGGUAUGUACAGAGGAAGGACGAACACGAGAACAAUAAACAUCUGGGACGCGCUCAGUAGUGCCGGUAGCUAAUCUCUGUGUGCAAAAUGAUUGACGUUUCUGAAUUCCACGACCGCAUGUUCUGGAGCACUGGUUUUAUAAAGUAGAAGAAGACAUAUUUCGUCGACAACCUCCCGAGAAUCCAGAACUCUGAAAUAACGGUAUCAAUCAAUUUCUGAAUUAACUUUGCAAUUUUUUUAACAAGCCUAUUCAAAUGACUCCAUGAACGUAUAUAUUAUUAAUGUUUACCAACCUCAG
Long non-coding RNA from Styela clava, 796 nucleotides. RefSeq lists it as uncharacterized. The record is from RefSeq and is a predicted model, not a curated record. NCBI's taxonomy places the organism in Eukaryota, Metazoa, Chordata, Ascidiacea, Stolidobranchia, Styelidae.